CAAGAGAACAGUGCCACUCAAAUUCGGCAGGAUCCAGCACGCAAGGAAGCUUGGAGGAUGACACUAUGGAUUUGGGACAAAUGAAAUCCACAAAUUUUUCCGCUGGAGAGCGCGAUCCUCUGAAAAGUAUAGACAACUUUUUUCCAAAAAAAAGAAAAGAGGAAAAAAAUGUUAUCUUCUACCUCCUUAGCUGCUCUUCUCCAUGGCCGCCCCCAUUAUCCUUUCCGUCCGUCGAAGGCGCAUCUUUUCCUAGCUCUCCCCAACAACCCUACCCGUUUCCUGGCCUCCGCCUCCGUCCGGGUCGCCUAUCCUCCCCGGUGGCAUCUCCGCGCCGCCGACGGGGAGCGGGACAACCGCGUGCAGGAGCUGAGGGUGCCCGAUUCUUGGCUGACGCCUGCAGGAGCAACGCAGAUAAAAUUGACAAGAAACGAAGAAGAAUACAUGGCAUUUUAAUAAUGGUUUUUGAAGGAGGGACAUUCGCAACGGGGACAAAAGGAAUCUGAAUGGCUGAGGGAGACACUGCGCAAGUGGCUCGACGACGAGUACUGCCCGGAGCCGGCCAACGUGGACAUCAGCAGCACCGCCGCGCGGUCGUAUCGCGAAUCCCUGAUAGCGGGGCAGUCUGACCUGGGAGAGAUCUUGCUGAGGAUGGUGGGCGACCUGGACAAGCUGUCGUACAGGGAGAGCUUCCACGGCCCCUUCUCGGCCGCCAACGCUGCAGUCCGUUUGAUCGCUCAGAGGAUGGAGGAGUCACUGCCUGAUGAAUGACGGUGGUGCGCGACCUGGAGUUUCUAUAUGGCACGACUUUUGAUGAAGUCGUAGGCUAUAUGUACUUUUGACGAUGAACAAUUCGAUCACCAUUCCUCACCGAGGCUGUCGCUGACAGAAAAUGGUGAGAAUAGGCUCGAGACUUCAUUUUUCUGCUGAAAUUCGCCAACGUACUAUUCUGUUUAUGAGCAUGUCUUUGAGACGAGCGGUGAAAUGCCAACGAGGUGGGUCGACUUAAGGGAGUGCGUGGCCUUCUCUGAAGUAGUUUUGGGUGUGAAUUUG
This 1050-nucleotide unclassified non-coding RNA is filed under the name Zea mays. RNAcentral's name for it is "misc RNA Zm00001eb410640". The record is from RNAcentral. Lineage: Eukaryota; Viridiplantae; Streptophyta; Magnoliopsida; Poales; Poaceae.